GCUCACCUAACCACCAUUAAAGAGACACUUCCAAGUCAUCAUAUGAUGAGUGAUAAUUCCAUUAGUCAACAAGCACCAGGCCUUUGGGUCUGCAAUGAUUAUUGAGUUAAUGGACUCAUUAUCAAACACCUUAAUGGGAGGCUAUGACUCAGUUAUCUCCAUAACUUUAUCAUUUUAAAGACCUAAUAAUUUUAGAAGAUUUAAAUAAUUUAGAGGAUGAGGUCAGAUGAACCAGCUUAUCAUGAUCCUCCCACUGGCUUCACCAUGUCAGUUUAAGGGAGACCAUUAAAAGGGCUGGUCUAGGAGCAUCUAAAUCAGUCACACUGAUUUACCUAGCUGACAUGGGUCAGCUCGAAUAGUCAAGUGAUCCGAUCAAAACAUAAUUUCACCAAGAGGCCAGGUAAGUUCGAUCAGUGGGAGGGUC
This 424-nucleotide long non-coding RNA is filed under the name Elaeis guineensis (African oil palm). Its description in RNAcentral is "long non-coding RNA (EGUI_LNC057053)". Lineage: Eukaryota; Viridiplantae; Streptophyta; Magnoliopsida; Arecales; Arecaceae. The record is from RNAcentral.